UGGGGAAUUUUGGACAAUGGGGGCAACCCUGAUCCAGCCAUUCCGCGUGAGUGAAGAAGGCCUUCGGGUUGUAAAGCUCUUUCAGCAGGAACGAAACGGUCGGCUUUAAUAAAGUCGGCUAAUGACGGUACCUGCAGAAGAAGCACCGGCUAACUACGUGCCAGCAGCCGCGGUAAUACGUAGGGUGCGAGCGUUAAUCGGAAUUACUGGGCGUAAAGCGUGCGCAGGCAGCGACAUAAGACAGAUGUGAAAUCCCCGGGCUCAACCUGGGAACUGCGUUUGUGACUGUGUUGCUAGAGUGUAGCAGAGGGGGGUGGAAUUCCACGUGUAGCAGUGAAAUGCGUAGAGAUGUGGAGGAACACCGAUGGCGAAGGCAGCCCCCUGGGUUAACACUGACGCUCAUGCACGAAAGCGUGGGGAGCAAACAGGAUUAGAUACCCCCGUAGUCCCUGAGCGGGCUGGCAAGGCGCAU
This 472-nucleotide ribosomal RNA is filed under the name uncultured bacterium. RNAcentral describes it as "bacterial SSU rRNA". It matches the Rfam family "Bacterial small subunit ribosomal RNA", at positions 355 to 825 of the family's 1533-position model. The record is from RNAcentral.